ACAUGCAAGUCGAACGGAUUAUGGGGCUUGCUUCAUAGUUAGUGGCGAACGGGUGAGUAAUAUAUCGGAACAUAUCCGGAAGUGGGGGAUAACGUAGCGAAAGUUACGCUAAUACCGCAUAUGCCCUGAGGGGGAAAGGAGGGGAUCGCAAGACCUUUCGCUUUCGGAGUGGCCGAUAUCGGAUUAGCUAGUAGGUGAGGUAAAGGCUCACCUAGGCGACGAUCCGUAGCGGGUCUGAGAGGACGACCCGCCACACUGGAACUGAGACACGGUCCAGACUCCUACGGGAGGCAGCAGUGGGGAAUUUUGGACAAUGGGCGCAAGCCUGAUCCAGCCAUACCGCGUGAGUGAAGAAGGCCUUCGGGUUGUAAAGCUCUUUCAGCCGGAAAGAAAUCGCAUUUAUUAAUACUAAAUGUGGAUGACGGUACCGGAAGAAGAAGCACCGGCUAACUACGUGCCAGCAGCCGCGGUAAUACGUAGGGUGCGAGCGUUAAUCGGAAUUACUGGGCGUAAAGCGUGCGCAGGCGGUUUCGUAAGACAGAUGUGAAAUCCCCGGGCUCAACCUGGGAACUGCAUUUGUGACUGCGAGACUAGAGUGUAGCAGAGGGGGGUAGAAUUCCACGUGUAGCAGUGAAAUGCGUAGAGAUGUGGAGGAAUACCAAUGGCGAAGGCAGCCCCCUGGGUUAACACUGACGCUCAUGCACGAAAGCGUGGGGAGCAAACAGGAUUAGAUACCCUGGUAGUCCACGCCCCUAAACGAUGUCAACUAGGUGUUGGGGAAAGGAGACUUCUUU
This 794-nucleotide ribosomal RNA is filed under the name uncultured bacterium. Its description in RNAcentral is "bacterial SSU rRNA". It matches the Rfam family "Bacterial small subunit ribosomal RNA", at positions 53 to 841 of the family's 1533-position model. The record is from RNAcentral.